GUGCUCGCUUCGGCAGCAUGUAUACUAAAAUUGGAACGAUACAGAGAAGAUUAGCAUGACCCCAGCACAAGGAUGACACACAAAUUCAUGAAGCGUUCCAUAUUUUU
Small nuclear RNA from Sorex araneus (European shrew), 107 nucleotides. The record is from Ensembl. Lineage: Eukaryota; Metazoa; Chordata; Mammalia; Eulipotyphla; Soricidae.